CCUACGGGUGGCAGCAGUGAGGAAUAUUGGUCAAUGGACGAGAGUCUGAACCAGCCAAGUAGCGUGAAGGAUGACUGCACUAUGGGUUGUAAACUUCUUUUAUAUGGGAAUAAAACGUUCCACGUGUGGGAUUUUGUAUGUACCAUAUGAAUAAGGAUCGGCUAACUCCGUGCCAGCAGCCGCGGUAAUACGGAGGAUCCGAGCGUUAUCCGGAUUUAUUGGGUUUAAAGGGAGCGUAGGUGGAUUGUUAAGUCAGUUGUGAAAGUUUGCGGCUCAACCGUAAAAUUGCAGUUGAAACUGGCAGUCUUGAGUACAGUAGAGGUGGGUGGAAUUCGUGGUGUAGCGGUGAAAUGCUUAGAUAUCACGAAGAACUCCGAUUGCGAAGGCAGUUCACUGGACUGCAACUGACACUGAGGCUCGAAAGUGUGGGUAUCAAACAGGAUUAGAUACCCGUGUAGUC
RNAcentral lists this ribosomal RNA (460 nucleotides) under uncultured bacterium. Its description in RNAcentral is "partial 16S ribosomal RNA". It matches the Rfam family "Bacterial small subunit ribosomal RNA", at positions 338 to 795 of the family's 1533-position model. The record is from RNAcentral.